This is a long non-coding RNA of Megalobrama amblycephala (Wuchang bream), 1708 nucleotides long. RefSeq lists it as uncharacterized. The transcript has 3 exons. The record is from RefSeq and is a predicted model, not a curated record. NCBI's taxonomy places the organism in Eukaryota, Metazoa, Chordata, Actinopteri, Cypriniformes, Xenocyprididae.
UAAAUUGACUCCAUUGAUUUCCAUUCCAUUCCUUAAACUGUGUUCCGAAGAUGGAAUGGAGGACGGAGGUCUUACGGGUUUGGAACGACAUGAGGGUCGCUCUCAGCAGCGUGGAUGCAGCGUGGACGGUGUCUGGAUGAUCAUUAACAGUAUAUGGCUACAAAGCAGAAUGGCUGACACAUCUCUCUGUGUGAUCUGGCUGACAUGCCCACAUAAUACCUGUAAUCAGGGGCUGCCAGCAGUGCCCGGGGGGACAUAAAGCAGCGUGGCGAUGCCCUGCCGUGACAGCCGUCCUUGUUCCCGCUGACAUGUCCGUAUGCGGGGCCAGAGCAGCGACAGCACCCGUGUAAAUACAGGCAGGAGUCUCUGCCUCUGGGGAGAUAGUGUUAUCUCCAGCGUCAAGGAGUUCUCCCAUCCCUCCUCCACAAAAACCCAUCCUCUGAGAAGCACACAGCUCCUCACCCCACACCUCCCCUCUCACCCUGCCUACACCGCAAUCACGGCACUAACCCACCUCUGUCUACACAGGGACACAGAACGCGUGAACUGCAGAGGUUGUGUACAUAUAGAUGCAUGUGACUCUGUAUUAAUAUGUGUCCUUGCCAUGACCAUGGCAUUGUGGGGCACAGCGAUUUGGGAUUACCAACCCUGCUUCUCCCUGAUGUUCAAGGAAUGUGAUUUACUCCACAGAUUCAGAAGGAUCUCUGAAUAUGACCUCCAACAGAAGGAGGCAGAGCCGAUGAAAUUGACUAAUCCUCCCUUUCCUUUUUUCUUUUUCAUUAAAAAGAGAUUUUAAGUGUGAAAGUAUUAUUUUUUCCCUCAAAUGCAGUGGAUUUUCACAGAUAUUCAAGUCAGCUGGAUUUUUCAAGGUGGGAGGCACUUCAAGGAAAUUAACUCGAAAGAAAGUAAACUAAAACCUGACUAACAAAAUAUGUCCAAAGAACAUUUUGUUAAUGUUCAUCCAUAUUAAAUUAACGUUAUUUCUGAAUUUCCUCUGAACAUUCAAAAUGUCCAGUUUAAAUGUUUUAAAAACAUAUUUUUACUGUGUGAAUGUUAAGGAAACAUUCAGUUUUAUAAUUUCGCAACGUUAUAUGAACAUUACUUUUAUGUUCUUUGAACAAUCUGAAAUGUAGUAUCAUUUAAAAAAAUGUCAGAUGAAUGUCCAUGAACAAUGUAUAAAUAAUGUUUUUGUGCUAACGUUUUGAGAAUAUAAUUAAAGACCAGAUAACUUUGAAUGAACAUAUAACUAUUAACGUUACUGGAAGAAUGUUUGUUCAUAACUUUGAAAGAACCUUGUCAGAAUGUUAGCCAAAGUUCUGAAAACAUUCCCUGCUAGCUGGGAAAAGGCAUUCCUGUCCUCCUCUUUGACUGCUUCAUCUGAGCGCCGCAGAAACUCCUUUAAAAUAAAGAUGGACAGCCAAAAACAAGGGACAAUGCAAAAGCAAACUACAAUCAAUACUAUAAACUAUACUAAACCAUUGUCAACAUUUGCCAAUAUUUGUAUAGAUAGAUAUAUCUAUGGUAAUAUACUAGCGAUUGUCAAUUCAGACGUGCUUUAUGUUCUUUGACACCUCAUGCUGACGUAUAGAAGCUCAACAGUAUUACAGUUAUUUGUGAAACUGACGGCAAUUAGAGAAAUGCGGGCCAGUCUGGGCAUGCUUGUACUGUAUUGUCCAUGUCAAUAAUCAAACCACUCUGACAAUAAAUC